GAUUCGUCACACUAUCAUUAACUGAAUCCAUAGGUUAAUGAGGCGAACCGGGGGAACUGAAACAUCUAAGUACCCCGAGGAAAAGAAAUCAACCGAGAUUCCCCCAGUAGCGGCGAGCGAACGGGGAGGAGCCCAGAGCCUGAAUCAGCAUGUGUGUUAGUGGAAGCGUCUGGAAAGGCGCGCGAUACAGGGUGACAGCCCCGUACACAAAAGCGCAUGUGCUGUGAGCUCGAUGAGUAGGGCGGGACACGUGGUAUCCUGUCUGAAUAUGGGGGGACCAUCCUCCAAGGCUAAAUACUCCUGACUGACCGAUAGUGAACCAGUACCGUGAGGGAAAGGCGAAAAGAACCCCGGCGAGGGGAGUGAAAAAGAACCUGAAACCGUGUACGUACAAGCAGUGGGAGCACCCUUCGGGGUGUGACUGCGUACCUUUUGUAUAAUGGGUCAGCGACUUAUAUUCUGUAGCAAGGUUAACCGUAUAGGGGAGCCGGAGGGAAACCGAGUCUUAACCGGGCGUUAAGUUGCAGGGUAUAGACCCGAAACCCGGUGAUCUAGCCAUGGGCAGGUUGAAGGUUGGGUAACACUAACUGGAGGACCGAACCGACUAAUGUUGAAAAAUUAGCGGAUGACCUGUGGCUGGGGGUGAAAGGCCAAUCAAACCGGGAGAUAGCUGGUUCUCCCCGAAAGCUAUUUAGGUAGCGCCUCGUGAAUUCAUCUCCGGGGGUAGAGCACUGUUUCGGCUAGGGGGCCAUCCCGGCUUACCAACCCGAUGCAAACUGCGAAUACCGGAGAAUGUUAUCACGGGAGACACACGGCGGGUGCUAACGUCCGUCGUGAAGAGGGAAACAACCCAGACCGCCAGCUAAGGUCCCAAAGUCAUGGUUAAGUGGGAAACGAUGUGGGAAGGCCCAGACAGCCAGGAUGUUGGCUUAGAAGCAGCCAUCAUUUAAAGAAAGCGUAAUAGCUCACUGGUCGAGUCGGCCUGCGCGGAAGAUGUAACGGGGCUAAACCAU
This 1013-nucleotide ribosomal RNA is filed under the name Salmonella enterica. Its description in RNAcentral is "partial 23S ribosomal RNA". It matches the Rfam family "Bacterial large subunit ribosomal RNA", at positions 137 to 1190 of the family's 2925-position model. RNAcentral also lists the same sequence under 1 other name. Lineage: Bacteria; Pseudomonadati; Pseudomonadota; Gammaproteobacteria; Enterobacterales; Enterobacteriaceae. The record is from RNAcentral.